Small nucleolar RNA from Neltuma alba, 142 nucleotides. The record is from RefSeq and is a predicted model, not a curated record. NCBI's taxonomy places the organism in Eukaryota, Viridiplantae, Streptophyta, Magnoliopsida, Fabales, Fabaceae.
AUCCCAGAUAAGCUUGAGGGUUGGUUUCUUCUGGUGCUUAUUCUGAUUCAUCGGAGGCCGAAACUGAUACUGGUAGUUUCGCUGAUAAAUGCCUGUAUCUGAUUAUCUCGAGGCGUUUACUAGUAACUCUUACCAUACAUUU